RNAcentral lists this ribosomal RNA (538 nucleotides) under uncultured bacterium. Its description in RNAcentral is "bacterial SSU rRNA". It matches the Rfam family "Bacterial small subunit ribosomal RNA", at positions 777 to 1314 of the family's 1533-position model. The record is from RNAcentral.
AAUAGAUACCCUGGUAGUCCACGCCGUAAACGAUGAGUGCUAAGUGUUAGGGGGUUUCCGCCCCUUAGUGCUGCAGCUAACGCAUUAAGCACUCCGCCUGGGGAGUACGGCCGCAAGGCUGAAACUCAAAGGAAUUGACGGGGGCCCGCACAAGCGGUGGAGCAUGUGGUUUAAUUCGAAGCAACGCGAAGAACCUUACCAGGUCUUGACAUCCUCUGACAACCCUAGAGAUAGGGCGUUCCCCUUCGGGGGACAGAGUGACAGGUGGUGCAUGGUUGUCGUCAGCUCGUGUCGUGAGAUGUUGGGUUAAGUCCCGCAACGAGCGCAACCCUUGAUCUUAGUUGCCAGCAUUUAGUUGGGCACUCUAAGGUGACUGCCGGUGACAAACCGGAGGAAGUGGGGAUGACGUCAAAUCAUCAUGCCCCUUAUGACCUGGGCUACACACGUGCUACAAUGGAUGGUACAAAGGGCUGCCAAACCGCGAGGUUGAGCGAAUCCCAUAAAACCAUUCUCAGUUCGGAUUGCAGGCUGCUAACCG